UCAGCUGUGCAAACCAUCCUAACACUCUCAAGUCCACACCAAUCACCUCCUCUGGGAUUGCAGCCAUCCUUGGGGCAUUACUUUGCUCAAGUGAAUCACGAAUGG
Molecule: non-coding RNA, 105 nt
Organism: Camelina sativa (false flax)
Lineage: Eukaryota; Viridiplantae; Streptophyta; Magnoliopsida; Brassicales; Brassicaceae
Source: RefSeq, a predicted model, not a curated record